This 218-nucleotide ribosomal RNA is filed under the name uncultured bacterium. RNAcentral's name for it is "partial 16S ribosomal RNA". It matches the Rfam family "Bacterial small subunit ribosomal RNA", at positions 116 to 334 of the family's 1533-position model. The record is from RNAcentral.
CGUGGGUAACCUGCCUCAUACAGGGGGAUAACAGUUAGAAAUGACUGCUAAUACCGCAUAAGCGCACAGCAUCGCAUGAUGCCGUGUGAAAAACUCCGGUGGUAUGAGAUGGACCCGCGUCUGAUUGGCUAGUUGGUGAGGUAACGGCCCACCAAGGCGACGAUCAGUAGCCGACCUGAGAGGGUGACCGGCCACAUUGGGACUGAGACACGGCCCAA